Molecule: ribosomal RNA, 309 nt
Filed under: uncultured bacterium
Lineage: Bacteria
Description: partial 16S ribosomal RNA
Rfam family: Bacterial small subunit ribosomal RNA
Source: RNAcentral
AGAGACAGCAGUAGCCGCGGGAAUACGUAGGUCCCGAGCGUUGUCCGGAUUUAUUGGGCGUAAAGCGAGCGCAGGCGGUUAGAUAAGUCUGAAGUUAAAGGCUGUGGCUUAACCAUAGUACGCUUUGGAAACUGUUUAACUUGAGUGCAAGAGGGGAGAGUGGAAUUCCAUGUGUAGCGGUGAAAUGCGUAGAUAUAUGGAGGAACACCGGUGGCGAAAGCGGCUCUCUGGCUUGUAACUGACGCUGAGGCUCGAAAGCGUGGGGAGCAAACAGGAUUAGAGACCCGCGUAGUCCCUGUCUCUUAUACC